RNAcentral lists this long non-coding RNA (4649 nucleotides) under Homo sapiens (human). RNAcentral's name for it is "HSALNT0078333". Lineage: Eukaryota; Metazoa; Chordata; Mammalia; Primates; Hominidae. The record is from RNAcentral.
GACGGGGUUUCAUGGUGUUAGCCAGGAUGGUCUCAAUCUCCUGACCUCAUGAUCUGCCCGCCUUGGUCUCCCAAAGUUCUGGGAUUACAGGUGUGAGCCACUGUGCACGGCCAAGAUUUCAUUUAAUUUGUAGGAUAUAUUUUGUCAACAAAAUGAAUUCUGACUCUGUUUCUAUAAAAGGCUAUCUUGGAUGUUUUUUGAAGUGUACUCUCUGGGUGUUUUUUUUUGUUUGUUUUUUGUUUUUUUGAGAUGGAAUUUUUGGUCACCCAGGCUGGAGUGCAAUGGCGCUGUCAGCUCAUUGCAACCUCUGCCUCCUAGGUUCAAGCAAUUCUCCUGCCUCAGGGUCCCGAAUAGCUGGGAUUACAGGUGGCUGCCACCACAUCUGGCUAAUUUUCAUAUUUUUAGUAGAGACAGGGUUUCACCAUGUUGGCCAAGCUGGUCUUGAACUCCAGACCUCAGAAGAUCCAUCCACCUCGGCCUCCCAAAGUGCUGGGAUUACAAGUGUGAGCCACUGCGCCUAGCCAGAAUAUAUAUAUAUAUAUAUAUAUAUAUAUAUAUAUAUAUUUUUUUUUUUUUUUUUUUUUUUUUUUUUUUGAGAUGGAGUCUCACUCUGUCCCCCCAGGCUGCAGUGCAGUGGCACGAUCUCUGCUCACUGCAACCUCUGUCUCCAGGGUUCAAGUGAUUCUCCUGCCUCAGCCUCUCAAGUAGUUGGGAUUAGAGGUGCCUGCCAGCACGCCUGGCUAAUUUUUUGUAUUUUUAGUAGAGACAGGGUUUCUCAAUUUUGGUCGGGCUGGUCUCAAACUCCCGACCUCAGGUGAUCUGCUUGCCUUGGCCUCCCAAAGUGUUGGGAUUACAGGCGUGAGCCACUGCGCCCGGCCCAGAAUAUACUUUUUAAAAUGAGGUGCUAUAAUUUAUAUUUGUGUACUUUAGAUCAAAUUAACUAUAAGCUAAAUUUUUAACAUUUAACGAUACAAUUCACAUAAAAUUGGACAAAUAUGCAACUCCCCAAAACCUCAGUUUCACUCUCUGUGAAAUGGAGAUCUCAGCUUCUACCUCAUAAAGGAGUUGUGUGUAUAAAUGUGGCAGCGGGUACCUAGUACAGUACAUGGCCUGACACAUGGCAAGCACCACAUGAAAUAUAGCUAUACUUAUUAAUUUGAGUAAUUAACAAGAAAAUUUAAAAAAAUCCUGUCAUUAUGUGAAAAGUUCUAUCUGUACUGCCAAGUGCUCAAAUGUAAGAACACAAUUUUUUUCCAAUCUACUUCUGAGAAUAAAAGUGUAGAAAAGUACUACUGAUUAGUAAUAAUUUAGACAGAACUGCUCAAUAUAAAUAUAAUUUGGAUAUUCAGUGAAAUCUUAGUGUUACAUAUUUUAUAUCUGAUUUCUAAACUUAUCAUGACAUCAAAGUCACCUAGGAAUAAUUUUUUUUUUUUUUUAAUUUUUGAGAUAGGGUAUCACUCUGGCACCUAGGCUGGAGUGCAGUGGCACAAUCUUGCCUCACUGCAGCCUCUGCCUCCUGAGCUCAAGUGAUCCUUCCACGUCAGCCUCCCAAGUAGCUGGGACCACAGGUACACACCACCAUGCCCAGCUAAAUUUUUGUGUAUUUUUUGUAGAGGCAGGGUUUUGCCAUGUUGCCCAGGCUGGUCUGGAACUCCUGGGCUCAAGGGGUCUGUCUGCCUCAGCCUCCCAAUGUGCUGAGAUUAUAGGCAUGAGCCACCAUGCUCAGUCUGGGAAUAAUUUUUAAUUCGAAAACACUCAAACCAAAAACAGACUCUAAUCAAGAGAGUAUAGAUUGUCCACAAGAGAAAUUCAAGAAUCUCUAUCAUUUUAAAAUUUGUACAAAUAAUUCUAAAGUAACGAGUCUGCAGACUAAUAUUUGGGGAACACUGAUGUAUUUCAUCUACCUAUAACUAAUUUUAACUAGUUGCAACUCACUCUCCAUGGGGAAACAUUCGCCAUGUUGGUAGGCUGUCCAGAAAAGGAUCCAAUAUAAAAUGUUAUUGGGAAGAGUCUUAAGUACCUCAGAAUUUAUUGUCAGAGAAUCAAUACCUAGACCUCUAUAUGCUUUACUGAAACUCCAGGAUGGUUGCCCUAGGUUUAAACUGAGUUCUGGGGGAAUGAUUUUCAUUUAAAGGUCUCAAGCUUCAUAACCAUUUUGCCCAGAUGAAAAAAGUUCAAAACAAGAUGUAAAAAUCCAUGUAUUGACCCUUCACUUAAAAAAAAAGUAUAUAUAUGUAUUAAACCAAAUGUACAGAUUCUUUACAGUUGGUCCCAAAGUUCUAGAGUCUUUUUAAAAAGAAGGAUUAUUUUUUCUUCAGAUUUUGCUUUGCUUGCUGUUACAGAGGCACUCCUGUCCAAAAGCUUCUGGUAACUUAAGUGACAAAUGCAAUGCAAAUAAAGAUAAGUAGAUUAAUACAAGAGCACACUCCCUGCAAUUACUAAUCAAAGAAUACCAACUCAAGUGUAAUGUUAGCUAGUCUCCUUAGCUGUUUCUCUCUUUUUAUUUUUUUUUGAGCUUUUGCUUCAGAUGAUAUGUAAUACUUAUGCAUAAGCAUAUUUUCAUAGUGCAAGUCAACACACUUUAACUAGUUCAAUACUCAUACUGAUCUAUUUUAUUACAUCUGAAUAAUCUUUUAUUAUGUGCAAAAAUUGAAUCACAUAGUGGAAGCUGCAUGCACAUAAGUACGCAAAGUCCAGUAAACUGGUUGUGGUUUUUCUGAUUAGAUAUUGAUUUAUUCUGAAUAUAUAAAGUGCUGUAGGAAGAUUUAAAGGCUGAGGGUGCACAAAAUCAUUUAAGAUGAUCAACAAUUAGGUUUCUCUUUUUCUAUAAGUGCAUAUACCAGAGCUAUUUUAAUAUUAAUAGUGGCUAAGGGUACUAUUAGAGUUUUUCAUAAUGAUAUUACUCCAAAUUAUUUUAUAAAGAUGGGAAGUAAUACUGGGAAAUAAUGAUACACAAUUGUUACUGAAUAUUUAAUAAAGCACAAGUUAGUUAUAAAUAAUACCACAAACUCUCUCUAAAAACCCCAAAUAAUUCCUCUAUAAAUCUUUCUAUACUACUUGUUUUAACAAGUUCUAUUUAAAAUAACUUCUUCCUAAAAAUGGAAUUUGAGGACCGGGCGCGGUGGCUCAUAUCUGUAAUCCCAGCACUUUGGGAGACUGAGGUGGGUGGAUCACGAGGUCAGGAGAUCGAGACCAUCCUGGCUAACAUGGUGAAACCCCAUCUCUACUAAAAAAUACGAAAAAUAAGCCCAACGUGGUGGCACACACCUGUAGUCCCAGCUACUCGGGAGGCUUAGGCAGGAGAAUUGCUUGAACUUGGGAGGCGGAGGUUGCAGUGAGCCGAGAUCACACCACUGCACUCCAGCCUGGGCAAAGAGCGAGUCUCUGUCUCAAAAAAAAAAAAAAAAUGGAAUUUGAGUUCUCUAGAUGAGUGUCAAACCAAUGAUUUAAAACAUCACAAGGCCUGAGUAGAAAGAAUGAAUUGAUUGGUACACAUGGGAACAGGAGUUAGUACUUGUUAAUUAGUCCUAGAGUUAGCGUUAGUACUUGUUAGUUAGUGUUAGUCCCAGAGUUAAGACAAAGAGCAACUUUAAAGUACAGAAUCUUUCCCAAGAAGAGUAAAUAAAUCCUCAUAGCAUAAAUCAAAUUUAAUGUUUGACAGUUCACCAGUUUUUAUCAUCUUUACAACAAACUCAGGUAGCUCUCUAGUAAUUUGCCUACUCCAUAAGGGGGCAUUUAUUUACCUCUUUACUAUUAAUUCUCAGAUCAAUAGAAGAGACAUAAACUUUGAAGAAAAAUUCAUAAUUAUACUUCUGCCAGUUCCCUUCAGAUUAAUUUAGUGAACAGGUGGACAAAUUCUCUGUGUCCCUGGAGAACAAGUGAAAUAUAAUGAAAAAAACAGAUCUGGGCAAGUACAGAAAACUAACGCCCAACUGAAGUUUUAAAACUUAUAUUGCAAAAGUGUAUGGGUAUUGAGAAGAGAUGAAAGGUUGAAAAGUAAUUUGAAAUAUGCUCAGGCCAUUGCAAUAUACCCCAUUAUGAUAGGGAUUGAGUUAUGCGCCAUCAUACAUCUCUCCCAUGUCAAGGACUUUUGAAAGGAUAUUAAGAGGUGACAAGCACAUGAACUUAAAAAAUAUUUUUAUAAAGACUGCCACCCAUUUGUUUGGCUAAUAAAAAGUCAGUAAGACUUCUGCUGAACACUCCGUUCUAUGUCUAAAUAGCCCAUGCCAGGUUCCACUUCACAGGUGUCUCAUUCAGCAUGCCAGCUGCCAGAAUGCCCAAGCUAAGUGUACAACUGCCCGGCACAGAAAGUGUGCAUGUUUUUUACUGGGUCAUGAAAGUUAGCCUUUGCUCUCAUCACCACAGAGAAAAGUCAGAAGAUAGCCUGUCUUAGUCAGGAAAAGAAAGUACAGCCUGUAGGAAGCAAUUUGAGGGUGUUCCAGAUCACACCAACAGCGGAUGCUGCAUCUGGGUAGUUCACGUACCCGAACAAAAAUUUUAAAAAUUUGGUGUGGCCUUUGCCAUCCAUUCACUCCUCAAAAACUACCAUUUGCUUUCCCAGAAAGCAAGCUUUCCAGCCCCACAGCCACGCCCCCACGAGAGAAAAAGUCGCACUCACCAAAUAGUGACAGGACCCCACACACCGUCCA